UACAGAGGGUGCAAGCGUUGUUCGGAAUUAUUGGGCGUAAAGAGCUCGUAGGCGGUGUGUCGCGUCGGCCGUGAAAACCUGCAGCUUAACUGUGGGCUUGCGGUCGAUACGGGCAGGCUAGAGUCCGGCAGGGGAGACUGGAAUUCCUGGUGUAGCGGUGAAAUGCGCAGAUAUCAGGAGGAACACCGGUGGCGAAGGCGACAUCCUGGACCGGUAUUGACGCUGAGGCGCGAAAGCCAGGGGAGCAAACGGG
This 253-nucleotide ribosomal RNA is filed under the name uncultured bacterium. Its description in RNAcentral is "partial 16S ribosomal RNA". It matches the Rfam family "Bacterial small subunit ribosomal RNA", at positions 524 to 776 of the family's 1533-position model. The record is from RNAcentral.